This 437-nucleotide small RNA is filed under the name Histoplasma ohiense. RNAcentral's name for it is "hypothetical lncRNA". The record is from RNAcentral. Lineage: Eukaryota; Fungi; Ascomycota; Eurotiomycetes; Onygenales; Ajellomycetaceae.
GUUAAUAAUUAAUUUAUGCAAUCAACUUCUCUUCUGCACUCACUUGUUUCUGUUAUUGUGAUUUUAUGUAAUUCUCAAUGUUCUUCUGCUCUGUGCUCUGCAUUUGUGUAGUCUCUAAUGAUUCUUCUGUGAAGUUUUUAAUGUUCUUUCACUUCAUACUCUGUGUUUGUAUAGUUUCUAAUGAUUUUUCUGUGUAGCUUUUAAUAUUCUUCUGCUCUGUGCUUCACUGUGGAGCAGCUUCUGAUAUUCUUUCACUCUGAUCUUCUCUCUAUAAGAAUUUUUUUUGUAUAAUCUUUUCUUCUGAUCUCUUUUCUCUUUCUUUUCUUAAUCAAUUUGUAAUUUGUAUUUAGAAUAAUGCUAGUGUAAUAGACGCAACGGAAAUAUCUAUAUUAGAAAAUAGCUAUAUAGUGAUAGAAAGGUAUAGAAUAUGAUGAAUG